GAUGUACGCUGGCGGCGUGCCUAAUACAUGCAAGUCGAACGCAUUGUGGUUGAAAUGAUAUGAAGAACUUGUUCAGAUUUGAUUUUCAACAUUGCAAUGAGUGGCGAACGGGUGAGUAACACGUGGGAAACCUACCUCUUAGCAGGGGAUAACAUUUGGAAACAAAUGCUAAUACCGUAUAAUAAUUAAAACCGCAUGGUUUUAGUUUAAAAGAUGGUCUUGCUAUCACUAAGAGAUGGUCCCGCGGUGUAUUAGUUAGUUGGUGAGGUAAUGGCUCACCAAGACAAUGAUACAUAGCCGAGUUGAGAGACUGACCGGCCACAAUGGGACUGAGACACGGCCCAUACUCCUACGGGAGGCAGCAGUAGGGAAGCUUCCACAAUGGACGAAAGUACUGAUGGAG
RNAcentral lists this ribosomal RNA (403 nucleotides) under uncultured bacterium. RNAcentral's name for it is "bacterial SSU rRNA". It matches the Rfam family "Bacterial small subunit ribosomal RNA", at positions 28 to 391 of the family's 1533-position model. The record is from RNAcentral.